RNAcentral lists this ribosomal RNA (1446 nucleotides) under uncultured bacterium. RNAcentral describes it as "bacterial SSU rRNA". It matches the Rfam family "Bacterial small subunit ribosomal RNA". The record is from RNAcentral.
AUUGAACGCUGGCGGCAUGCCUUACACAUGCAAGUCGAACGGUAACAGGUUAAGCUGACGAGUGGCGAACGGGUGAGUAAUGUAUCGGAACGUGCCCAGUCGUGGGGGAUAACUGCUCGAAAGAGCAGCUAAUACCGCAUACGACCUGAGGGUGAAAGCGGGGGAUCGCAAGACCUCGCGCGAUUGGAGCGGCCGAUAUCAGAUUAGGUAGUUGGUGAGGUAAAGGCUCACCAAGCCGACGAUCUGUAGCUGGUCUGAGAGGACGACCAGCCACACUGGGACUGAGACACGGCCCAGACUCCUACGGGAGGCAGCAGUGGGGAAUUUUGGACAAUGGGCGCAAGCCUGAUCCAGCCAUGCCGCGUGCGGGAAGAAGGCCUUCGGGUUGUAAACCGCUUUUGUCAGGGAAGAAAAGGUUCUGGCUAAUACCUGGGACUCAUGACGGUACCUGAAGAAUAAGCACCGGCUAACUACGUGCCAGCAGCCGCGGUAAUACGUAGGGUGCAAGCGUUAAUCGGAAUUACUGGGCGUAAAGCGUGCGCAGGCGGUUAUGCAAGACAGAGGUGAAAUCCCCGGGCUCAACCUGGGAACUGCCUUUGUGACUGCAUGGCUAGAGUACGGUAGAGGGGGAUGGAAUUCCGCGUGUAGCAGUGAAAUGCGUAGAUAUGCGGAGGAACACCGAUGGCGAAGGCAAUCCCCUGGACCUGUACUGACGCUCAUGCACGAAAGCGUGGGGAGCAAACAGGAUUAGAUACCCUGGUAGUCCACGCCCUAAACGAUGUCAACUGGUUGUUGGGAGGGUUUCUUCUCAGUAACGUAGCUAACGCGUGAAGUUGACCGCCUGGGGAGUACGGCCGCAAGGCUGAAACUCAAAGGAAUUGACGGGGACCCGCACAAGCGGUGGAUGAUGUGGUUUAAUUCGAUGCAACGCGAAAAACCUUACCUACCCUUGACAUGUCUGGAAUCCUGAAGAGAUUUGGGAGUGCUCGAAAGAGAGCCAGAACACAGGUGCUGCAUGGCCGUCGUCGGCUCGUGUCGUGAGAUGUUGGGUUAAGUCCCGCAACGAGCGCAACCCUUGUCAUUAGUUGCUACGAAAGGGCACUCUAAUGAGACUGCCGGUGACAAACCGGAGGAAGGUGGGGAUGACGUCAGGUCAUCAUGGCCCUUAUGGGUAGGGCUACACACGUCAUACAAUGGCCGGGACAGAGGGCUGCCAACCCGCGAGGGGGAGCUAAUCCCAGAAACCCGGUCGUAGUCCGGAUCGUAGUCUGCAACUCGACUGCGUGAAGUCGGAAUCGCUAGUAAUCGCGGAUCAGCUUGCCGCGGUGAAUACGUUCCCGGGUCUUGUACACACCGCCCGUCACACCAUGGGAGCGGGUUCUGCCAGAAGUAGUUAGCCUAACCGCAAGGGGGGCGAUUACCACGGCAGGGUUCGUGACUGGGGUG